This 67-nucleotide transfer RNA is filed under the name Layahima weiweii. Its description in RNAcentral is "tRNA-Glu". It matches the Rfam family "tRNA". Rfam says of the family: Transfer RNA (tRNA) molecules are approximately 80 nucleotides in length. Their secondary structure includes four short double-helical elements and three loops (D, anti-codon, and T loops). Lineage: Eukaryota; Metazoa; Arthropoda; Insecta; Neuroptera; Myrmeleontidae. The record is from RNAcentral.
AUUUAUGUAGUUUAAAAAAAAACAUUACAUUUUCAUUGUAAAAAUAAAAAUAACUUUUUCAUAAAUA